This 352-nucleotide ribosomal RNA is filed under the name uncultured bacterium. Its description in RNAcentral is "bacterial SSU rRNA". It matches the Rfam family "Bacterial small subunit ribosomal RNA", at positions 32 to 373 of the family's 1533-position model. The record is from RNAcentral.
AAUCAACGCUGGCGGCGUGCCUCAGACAUGCAAGUCGAACGAUUAAAAGCUCUCUUCGGAGAGUGUAUAGAGUGGCGCACGGGUGAGUAACACGUAAGUAAUCUACCUUUGAGUGGGGAAUAACCCGGGGAAACCCGAGCUAAUACCGCAUAAUGCAGCGGCAUCGCAAGAUGACAGUUGUUAAAAGGAGCAAUCCGCUUAAAGAGGAGCUUGCGGCAGAUAGCUAGUUGGUAAGGUAAUGGCUUACCAAGGCUACGAUCUGUAUCCGGUCUAAGAGGACGGUCGGACACACUAACACUGAAUAACGGGUCAGACUCCUACGGGAGGCAGCAGUCGGGAAUUUUGGGCGAAU